CUUUAAAAAAUAAUGUUGCAUAUGUCUUACAUAUCUGUUGUUUAAACUUAUCUGGGUUUUCUAUAGUAGCCUGCAUACUAUAUUUGUAAAUUUACACUGAGAAUUGUAUGUCAAGUAAUACCAGCGUACAUUAUGUUUGCAUGGGUCAGUUAGACUUCGUUGCAUUGUACAUUAUUAUACCCCCAGCAUCAUGAAUUGUACAUUACCCUCAACAUGACGAUAAAUAUACAAGUGCUAACUAAAAUAAACAAAAACAAAUCUUAAGAUUACAAGUGCGUUGCACGUGCGCAUUUACUAGUCGAAAAAGAAAGAAACUAGUGUUGUCGGUCGUGCCUGAUGUCGCUCCUUUUAACCCCGUCUCCACCGCUUCCGGCCUCUCUCUCCCUCCUCUCUCCGGUGGCUCCAGUCAUCGGAGAGGAGGGAGAGAGGGGGGCGGCCCUAGUAGUCUGUGUACUAGGUUGCUCUUUUGCUUUAAAUAAACCAGAUCAUAGCUCUUUCUUCCACUUCCUUGUGAGCUUGAUGGCGGCCGUGGUGGUCGAAGCAAAGUUUGGGAAGUAGGCAGAAGGGUGAGAUCUGAGGCCUUGCUUCUGGGCGCUUUGUGCGGUCCCGGAUCUGGAGAAUCAGCCGCAUCUUGGCCUAUCCUUCAAGCUGCCAUCGUGGAGAGGGAGGCAGAGGAUGACUAGGUCUCAGCAAUAGAUGGGUGGUCUUUGCCACCCCGGUGACCUUUCUGACCGAAGGGCGGCCAUGUGUGGCGACGGCAUCGUCCGUUCACUCUUUCUCUACCUCCUGGCUUGAGGCCAAUAUGUAGGCACUUUGUAUUCUGCGUCGUGUUCACCUUUUCUUCCUCCGGCGAGCUGAGUCGAAGACGAGGAGGUGGAGGCCCUGCGGUCCCAAGUGGCUCGUCCCCGGCGACGGCCGGGUUGAAUAGGCGACGGAAUACUGUGAUGGACCCGAUUGUAAUCUUAGUUCUCGGGCCAGGCUUCUCCUUGCUUAUGUCAGGGACUGCCUUGUCAUUUCUUUUUCUUUGAGGUCCUUUUCUGAAUCAUGCACUUUCUCUAUUGAGUAAAA
This is a long non-coding RNA of Aegilops tauschii subsp. strangulata, 1068 nucleotides long. RefSeq lists it as uncharacterized. Lineage: Eukaryota; Viridiplantae; Streptophyta; Magnoliopsida; Poales; Poaceae. The record is from RefSeq and is a predicted model, not a curated record.